Molecule: ribosomal RNA, 406 nt
Filed under: uncultured bacterium
Lineage: Bacteria
Description: partial 16S ribosomal RNA
Rfam family: Bacterial small subunit ribosomal RNA
Source: RNAcentral
AUUGAACGCUGGCGGCGGGCCUAACACAUGCAAGUCGAACGAGUGGCGGACGGGUGAGUAAUGUCUGGGAAACUGCCUGAUGGAGGGGGAUAACUGCUGGAAACGGUAGCUAAUACCGCAUACCAUCAGAUGUGCCCAGAUGGGAUUAGCGAGUUGGGGGGGUAACGGCUCACCAAGGCGACGAGCCCUAGCUGGUCUGAGAGGAUGACCAGCCAAACUGGAACGGAGACACGGUCCAGACUCCUACGGGAGGAAGCAGUGGGGAAUCUUGCACAAUGGGCGAAAGCCUGAGGCAGCCAUGCCGCGUGUAUGAAGAAGGCUGUCGGGUUGUAAAGUACUUUUAUCGGGGAGGCGUUACCCGCAGAAGAAGCACCGGCUAACUCCGUGCCAGCCGCCGCGGUAAUUC